This 2414-nucleotide long non-coding RNA is filed under the name Zea mays. RNAcentral's name for it is "long non-coding RNA (ZMAY_LNC003678)". The record is from RNAcentral. Lineage: Eukaryota; Viridiplantae; Streptophyta; Magnoliopsida; Poales; Poaceae.
CCACUUCUUUCCCCUUGGCCGCCGCCCCCCCUGCCCAUCUUCUCCUCUCUCCAUUGUUGCAGCCACCAAACCCUAGCCCCCCCCUCAAUCCCCUCCUCUCAAGGUGCCAAUCCUUGCCGCUCGGAUCAUCGUCACGUGGUGCGAGUCUUCAAUCGUUUUGGUGGAGGGAAGAAGGGAGGAAGGAAAGGGGGAGAAUCCAAGGUGAUUUUUGUGUUCAUCCCUUGUUCAUUUGCGCUGCAAUUUAAUUGAUUAGAGGUUGCGUUUGCGAUUGCGUAGAGGGAGCUGUCCAGAAUUUUAGGUGGUGGAUGAACAGCAGUAGUUCUAGCAGUUCUGUGUUUUUUUCGUGAGAAAUUAAGGGAAAACAGUUUGGGGAUCAUGUAGAACUUUGUCUUACCUUUCCAACGAGUAUUUAUGCGCUCAAUUUGGAGUUAUAAAUUGAAAGUUAUCACCGUUUGAAUCCGGGUAUGUGGCUGUCCAAAAAACAGAUUUUCAGGGGGAUGAACAGCAGCAGUAUUAGCAGUUUCUGGGGAUUUUUCGGGAGUAAUUAGGGUUAAUCAGUAUAAGAAUCAUGAAGGGCUCUUUCUUAUCUUUCCAACAAGUACUUAUGCGCUUGAUUCGGAAUUAUAUUUUAAAAGUUAUCGCUGUUUGAAUCCGAGUAUGUCGCUGCCCAAAACAGAAAAAAAAACAGAUUGCAGGGUUUAUUUUGUGGACCGUUUAGGGGUAAUUAGAUGUUAGAAUUUAAUCAUAAGUUGUAUACAAAACUUGUGGGGAAUUUUAUGUAGUUGCCUCUGGAGUUUUUGUUUGACACCACUGCUGUCUUAAUUUUAAAGUUAUGGAAUUGUUAAGCAGCGCCGCUGCAGUUUGGUUGGUGUUGGGAGAAUUGUUACCCGCGGCGGGGUCGGAGAUUGCGCGUAGGUGCGGCGUUGUUUUGAGUUUUUUUAUGUGAAUUUGGUGCACUAAGUUGGGUGUCAAAAACUGGUGGUGGACUCCUAGAUCGUUCUUAGGGAUUUGCCCAAACUUCUGGUGAAGGCAAGUAAAACUGUGAUGGUUAUUCCGUCUGUCAGAUGAGGAGUCUUAUACUUGUUUAUGUUGUGCUAUUAUGUUCAAAUUCAUAGUUUCUUUUGAGUACCAUCAUUUGAAAAUGUUCAUGUUUCAUGAAUUUCAUAUGUUGAGUUUGAGGUUUGAUUAUGUUACUCAAGUGGUUAUUAUGUGGAAUGGGUGGAAGUAAAUGCCUAGCACAUUUUUAUUUGGAAAGAACUCAUGAUGUUGCCAUGCAUAAUGCACUCAUCAUCCAUUGCAUUGAAGUUUCGUCGCGAUCUUAUGGUCCGACCGUACCGGUACAUUGAGCAUCAUAUGUUGCCCGAGAAGGGGUAUGGUGCAGCUUCAUAUCCUUAGAGAUAUGGAGGCAGAAGUCAUUCUUGCAUUUGUAGCCAUAUGCAUUCAUGGGAGAGGUGUUGAAUCUAUUAUGUGGAUGUGGAUAAUUUGGGCUUGUGCAUGGUGAUUCUACUUGGCGUUGAGCUUUUAGUUACUUGUUUACUUGCUGCAAUUUACUGUUCAAAAGAAAAGAAAGAAGUCCUGAACACGUGGUUGUGUAAGCACAGUUGAUUUGCAAUGUCCUAUUUGUUGUUGUUAUGUUUACUUGCUGAGAUGUGUUAUCUCACAUCUUGCAUUGUUUGAUGCAGGCACCUAAUUUCUGCUUUGGGAAUAGAGGGAUGUAGCAGCACGGCCACUACACCUUUAAUAAAGGAACCACCAUUUAAUAAUGUUGUUAAUCAGAGUUGGACAAGUCUAGUGAAUUGCUUUGUUCUUGGUUGAGCGUUUAUUUUGGGGUGGGCUGAGUCUUAUCCCAUUUGUUUUGCUUCAGUUGGGUCAUAAUUAAGUUUUGCCACUAUUGCAUUUCAGUUUCUACUAUGUGAAUUAUAUGUCUUUAUAUCUUGUAUGAGCUUCAUGAUUCUCCUCCUUGUUAUGCUAGUUUUCAAAGGAGGUGCUGCCGGAUUUUGCUAUAUAUUCUUUCUUUAUUACUUCUCUUGUGUUGAGUAAGUUUGGUGGGUGGGGUUUGUGGUAUUAUCCAUUGUGUGUGACCAGUGGGGUGUUACAAAAAUUUUCUUAUUAGGAAAGAAGCUUCGAAUUUAAUUCUGUUAUUUUUGCUUUAGCGUCCACUAAUAAGCCUUCGGCUGUUUGUAGCUCGAAGUCUUUCUUCUCGAUGGCAGCAGAUUGCUCUUUUAUCUUGUUUUCUAAGUUUUCAAUUAUAACUUCGUGCCUUUUAUCCUCUAAGUCUUGCUGCAUUUUUAAUGUCUUGCUCAAAAGUAUACUCUGUGGACAAAUAACCUUCGUUAGAAAAUAUUUCCGUAACCACAAAUAAUAAAAGUUAGAUACAAGACAUUUACCUUAAAAUUAGAAUAGAACAAACUGCC